UAGUCCAGGAUAACUGCCUGAUUAUUUGGGC
RNAcentral lists this non-coding RNA (31 nucleotides) under Rattus norvegicus (Norway rat). Lineage: Eukaryota; Metazoa; Chordata; Mammalia; Rodentia; Muridae. The record is from RNAcentral.